Molecule: ribosomal RNA, 553 nt
Filed under: Bifidobacterium longum subsp. suillum
Lineage: Bacteria; Bacillati; Actinomycetota; Actinomycetes; Bifidobacteriales; Bifidobacteriaceae
Description: bacterial SSU rRNA
Rfam family: Bacterial small subunit ribosomal RNA
Source: RNAcentral
UCUCCUGGAAACGGGUGGUAAUGCCGGAUGCUCCAGUUGAUCGCAUGGUCUUCUGGGAAAGCUUUCGCGGUAUGGGAUGGGGUCGCGUCCUAUCAGCUUGACGGCGGGGUAACGGCCCACCGUGGCUUCGACGGGUAGCCGGCCUGAGAGGGCGACCGGCCACAUUGGGACUGAGAUACGGCCCAGACUCCUACGGGAGGCAGCAGUGGGGAAUAUUGCACAAUGGGCGCAAGCCUGAUGCAGCGACGCCGCGUGAGGGAUGGAGGCCUUCGGGUUGUAAACCUCUUUUAUCGGGGAGCAAGCGAGAGUGAGUUUACCCGUUGAAUAAGCACCGGCUAACUACGUGCCAGCAGCCGCGGUAAUACGUAGGGUGCAAGCGUUAUCCGGAAUUAUUGGGCGUAAAGGGCUCGUAGGCGGUUCGUCGCGUCCGGUGUGAAAGUCCAUCGCUUAACGGUGGAUCCGCGCCGGGUACGGGCGGGCUUGAGUGCGGUAGGGGAGACUGGAAUUCCCGGUGUAACGGUGGAAUGUGUAGAUAUCGGGAAGAACACCACCC